UGAGAACCAGGGAGGCAGCUCUAUCU
This 26-nucleotide non-coding RNA is filed under the name Rattus norvegicus (Norway rat). Lineage: Eukaryota; Metazoa; Chordata; Mammalia; Rodentia; Muridae. The record is from RNAcentral.